RNAcentral lists this ribosomal RNA (115 nucleotides) under Citrobacter freundii. RNAcentral also lists the same sequence under 22 other names. The record is from RNAcentral. Lineage: Bacteria; Pseudomonadati; Pseudomonadota; Gammaproteobacteria; Enterobacterales; Enterobacteriaceae.
UGGCGGCUGUAGCGCGGUGGUCCCACCUGACCCCAUGCCGAACUCAGAAGUGAAACGCCGUAGCGCCGAUGGUAGUGUGGGGUCUCCCCAUGCGAGAGUAGGGAACUGCCAGACA